UUUCCGUAGGUGAACCUGCGGAAGGAUCAUUAACACAUAAACGAUGUGCUAAUACUCACUCUGAUCCGUAAACUUGUCCACGCGACAUUGCGCUCACACACAUCCAUGUUACCCCUACUACCACCACCGCGUCUGCCCCCCUCUGACUUCAUCGGACGGGGGCUUACGUUGUCACACGAACUUUUAAUACAGUAUGAACUGAAUUUUUUUUUUUUGCGAUUUCGCGGACAAUACAACUUUAAACAACGUAUCUCUUCGCUCUCGCAUCGAUGAAUAACG
RNAcentral lists this unclassified non-coding RNA (279 nucleotides) under plant metagenome. Its description in RNAcentral is "partial contains small subunit ribosomal RNA, internal transcribed spacer 1, and 5.8S ribosomal RNA". The record is from RNAcentral.